RNAcentral lists this ribosomal RNA (496 nucleotides) under uncultured bacterium. RNAcentral describes it as "partial 16S ribosomal RNA". It matches the Rfam family "Bacterial small subunit ribosomal RNA", at positions 28 to 507 of the family's 1533-position model. The record is from RNAcentral.
GAUGAACGCUGGCGGCGUGCCUAAUACAUGCAAGUCGAGCGAACGGACGAGAAGCUUGCUUUUCUGAUGUUAGCGGCGGACGGGUGAGUAACACGUGGAUAACCUACCUAUAAGACUGGGAAACUUCGGGAAACCGGAGCUAAUACCGGAUAAUAUUUUGAACCGCAUGGUUCAAAAGUGAAAGACGGUCUUGCUGUCACUUAUAGAUGGAUCCGCGCUGCAUUAGCUAGUUGGUAAGGUAACGGCUUACCAAGGCAACGAUGCAUAGCCGACCUGAGAGGGUGAUCGGCCACACUGGAACUGAGACACGGUCCAGACUCCUACGGGAGGCAGCAGUAGGGAAUCUUCCGCAAUGGGCGGAAGCCUGACGGAGCAACGCCGCGUGAGUGAUGAAGGUCUUCGGAUCGUAAAACUCUGUUAUUAGGGAAGAACAUAUGUGUAAGUAACUGUGCACAUCGUGACGGUACCUAAUCAGAAAGCCACGGCUAACUACGUG